GUGAAUCAUCGAAUUUUUGAACGCAAAUUGCGCUCUCUUCUAAGAGGAGGCCUGUUUGAGUUUCAGCCCAAAAAAAAUCGACAUAGUUGCUGUUACUCUGUGACAUUCGUCGGAAAUGGGGUCAUCUUAAACCUUGGGGUUGAAGCGGCUUAAAAUUUUCGUUACGAUUCCAAUAACGAUUCUAAGCUGUUAUUUUCUUAUACGUUUAAGGUAUCUAUCUUUAUUAUACGUGGCCGUUACAUCGGAUCACGUCCAUAAAUAUU
This 263-nucleotide unclassified non-coding RNA is filed under the name Glomus sp. RNAcentral describes it as "partial internal transcribed spacer 2". The record is from RNAcentral. Lineage: Eukaryota; Fungi; Glomeromycota; Glomeromycetes; Glomerales; Glomeraceae.